AGAAAUGAACAAAGAUUGGAGCUGAAG
This 27-nucleotide non-coding RNA is filed under the name Cricetulus griseus (Chinese hamster). Lineage: Eukaryota; Metazoa; Chordata; Mammalia; Rodentia; Cricetidae. RNAcentral also lists the same sequence under 1 other name. The record is from RNAcentral.